Cyprinus carpio carpio is the source of this 638-nucleotide long non-coding RNA. Lineage: Eukaryota; Metazoa; Chordata; Actinopteri; Cypriniformes; Cyprinidae. The record is from Ensembl.
AUAUCCUCUAUCGUAUUCUACAACAAAAACAAUCAGAGCGCCUUGUUAUCACUAGUUUUAUUUUGAUUUCCCGAGUCCGCUAGUAGCUUAUAGCCCAUUAGCAUCACCAGCGUGGUUGUCGCUAAACCCGCGUGCAUCGCUAAUACUCUAUUCACACACAUUACAAUUGCUUUACUCACUGUUACUUGCUAAACUGCUCUUUGUUAAUAAUUGGAAUCUUUUCUGGGAGCGACCUAGGCUUUUUCGCGCUGAUGGCCUGCACCCCAGCAGAGUCGGAGCGGAGCUGCUCUCGGACAACAUCUCCAGAACUCUACGCUCCAUUUGACUAGAUUUACACAAGCUCCAGUCUGGAUCCAGAACACCUGAGAAGAGAUGAUGCCAGCCCCUCAGAGGACCUCAGAUGAUGCUAACCCAGAGACAACAUACAGAACUACCACAUUUUGCUAUAAGUUUGAUUGCAUAAUUGCUGUUAAUAGUGUUAAUCGUCUGUUUGUUUACGUCUUUUUAUUGAUUUUUCUGAACAUUUCUGCCAUAUGCACAUGAACUGACAGUUACCACUGAUAAGCUACUACUAAAUAUUGUAGAAACUUAAUUUUCUGUAAAGUUGCUUUGUAAUGAUUUGUAUCCUAAAAAGCGCU